GGGCCAGCAACCCAACAACAGGUUGUCCGAUUUGUCUGAAAAUUUCAGGGCAGAUAGAUCUUGACCUGAUAAUUAAUUUUAUCCCAUGUCAGAUUUGCUCUAAAUGCUUUGGUUUUUGAGUUAUAAGCCAAAAACUGCAUUUUACCCCUAUGUUCUAUUUUUAGCCAUGGCAGCCAUCUUGGUUGGUUGGUGGGAUCACCCCACACAUUUUUUUAACAAUAUACACC
This 227-nucleotide long non-coding RNA is filed under the name Mytilus galloprovincialis (Mediterranean mussel). The record is from RNAcentral. Lineage: Eukaryota; Metazoa; Mollusca; Bivalvia; Mytilida; Mytilidae.